RNAcentral lists this ribosomal RNA (478 nucleotides) under uncultured bacterium. Its description in RNAcentral is "bacterial SSU rRNA". It matches the Rfam family "Bacterial small subunit ribosomal RNA", at positions 100 to 558 of the family's 1533-position model. The record is from RNAcentral.
AAAGGGUGAGUAAUAUGUGGGUAAUCUACCUGCGAGUGGGGGAUAACCUGGGGAAACCCGGGCUAACACCGCAUACGAUGCUGGGACUUACGUCCUGGUCUGAAAGCUGGCCUCUGCUUGCUGGCUAGCGCUCCCAGAGGAGCCCGCGGCUGAUUAGCUGGUUGGUGGGGUAAUGGCCUACCAAGGCGACUAUCAAUAGCCGGCCUGACAGGGUGAUCGGCCACACUGGAACUGAUACACGGUCCAGACUCCUACGGGAGGCAGCAGUGGUGAUUAUUGGACAAUGGGCGCAAGCCUGAUCCAGCAACGCCGCGUGGAGGACGAACGUCUUCGGAUCAUAAACUCCUGUCAGGUGGGACGAAGGUAAGUGGGUGAAUAAUCCGCUUGCUUGACGGUACUACCAAAGGAAGCCCCGGCUACCUCCGUGCCAGCAUUCGCGGUAUUACGGAGGGGGCGAGCGUUAUUCGGAAUUAUUGGG